GAUGAAGAACGUAGCGAAAUGCGAUACGUAAUGUGAAUUGCAGAAUUCAGUGAAUCAUCGAGUCUUUGAACGCACAUUGCGCCCCCUGGUAUUCCGGGGGGCAUGCCUGUCCGAGCGUCAUUGCUGCCCUCAAGCCCGGCUUGUGUGUUGGGUCUCGUCCCCCUUCCCGGGGGGACGGGCCCGAAAGGCAGCGGCGGCACCGCGUCCGGUCCUCGAGCGUAUGGGGCUUUGUCACCCGCUCUGUAGGCCCGGCCGGCGCUUGCCGAUCAACCAAAACUUUUUUCCAGGUUGACCUCGGAUCAGGUAGGGAUACCCGCUGAACUUAAGCAUAUAAUAAGCGGAGGA
Molecule: unclassified non-coding RNA, 345 nt
Filed under: soil metagenome
Description: partial contains 5.8S ribosomal RNA, internal transcribed spacer 2, and large subunit ribosomal RNA
Rfam family: 5.8S ribosomal RNA (bases 1-120)
Source: RNAcentral